Molecule: ribosomal RNA, 255 nt
Filed under: uncultured bacterium
Lineage: Bacteria
Description: partial 16S ribosomal RNA
Rfam family: Bacterial small subunit ribosomal RNA
Source: RNAcentral
CGGAGGGUGCAAGCGUUACCCGGAAUCACUGGGCGUAAAGGGCGUGUAGGCGGCCCCAUAAGUCCGACUUUGAAGACCGAGGCUCAACCUCGGGCGUGGGUUGGAGACUGUGGGACUAGACCUCUGGAGAGAGAACCGGAAUUCCUGGUGGAGCGGUGGAAUGCGUAGAUCCCAGGAGGAACACCGACGGCGAAGGCAGGUUCUUGGACAGAAGGUGACGCUGAGGCGCGAAAGUGUGGGGAGCAAAACCGGAUU